Molecule: ribosomal RNA, 450 nt
Filed under: uncultured bacterium
Lineage: Bacteria
Description: partial 16S ribosomal RNA
Rfam family: Bacterial small subunit ribosomal RNA
Source: RNAcentral
CCUACGGGGGGCUGCAGUGGGGAAUAUUGCGCAAUGGUCGAAAGACUGACGCAGCGACGCCGCGUGGAGGAUGACGCCCUUCGGGGUGUAAACUCCUGUUGCUCGGGACGAAACCUCCUUUCGAGGAGACAGACGGUACCGAGUGAGGAAGCACCGGCUAACUCUGUGCCAGCAGCCGCGGUAAUACAGAGGGUGCGAGCGUUGUCCGGAGGCACUGGGCGGAACGGGCGCGUAGGCGGCUUGGUACGGGGAAAGAUCGGGGCUCAACCCCGAGUCGGCCGUGCGAACUGCCGAGCUGGAGCACGGUAGAGGCACAUGGAAUUCCGGGUGUAGCGGUGGAAUGCGUAGAGAUCCGGAAGAACACCGGUGGCGAAGGCGGUGUGCUGGGCCGUAGCUGACGCUGAGGCGCGACAGCGUGGGGAGCAAACAGGAUUAGAUACCCUAGUAGUC